UCCCCCAUACUACGAUCAUCAGCAACACCAAAAACACUUUCUUGAAGUAGCGUCUAUUAAAUUUCUCUUCUGCUAUCACUUUUUACUCUAUUAAUUAAUAAUGUCUGAGGAAAAGCACCACCAACACGGCCUCUUCCACCACCACAAGGAGCAUGAGAAGCCUGAGGGUACCACCGGCUACUCCGACACCGUCACCGGCUACUCUGAUACCGCCACCGGCUACUCUGAUACCCCCACCGGUUACUCCGACUUGACCACCGGAUACUCUGAUCAGUCAGCCACCGAUUACUCUGAGACUACAGGUUAUCCGGGAGACCGGCGCCGGCCAUCAGAGAUGGAGAGCGGUGAGUAUGGCAGGAAAGAGGAAGAGUUUGAUUACAAGAAGGAGGAGAAGCACCACAAGCAUCUCGAGCACGUUGGAGAGCUUGGAACUGGUGCAGCUGGUGCUUUUGCUCUGGUAAAGUGCUUCUUCAUCAAAGUGCCUUUUCAAUUGUUUGAUGGUAUAGAGUUUCAUUUCUCAUGCAUGCUUGGAAAAAGUGUUUUUUUGACAACAUACUUAUAUAUAAUACCGCGCAUGUAACUAGGUUUUUUGCAGACACUGGCAAAAAAAAACAAAAAAUCCCAUUAUUUUCUUUUCAUUCUAUCUUUAUGUUGACCCUCAAAUUUUUUUUUUUUUUUGUUGGGGGGGUGGGGGGGUGUUGAUACGAUAUUGUAAAUGGAUCAGCUUGAGAAGCACAAGGCAGAAAAGGACCCAGAGCAUGCACACAGGCACAAGAUAGAGGAGGAGAUAGCCGCGGCAGCAGCCGUUGGAUCGGGAGGAUUUGCGUUCCACGAGCACCAUGAGAAGAAAGAAGCCAAGGAAGAAGACGAGGAAGCUCAUGGAAAGAAGCACCACCAUCUCUUUUAAUUAAUUAUGUGAUGCGUGCGCUACCUUUUUUAGUUUAUUAUAAUUAUGUGUUAAUAUUUUCUGUAUUUUAUUUGUUUUUGUUCGUUAAUUAUCAUUGAGCACAGAGGUAGCUAUCUGCAGCCCUAAAUAAUACCCUUGUGUGUUUGUGUGUAUGGGUGAGUCUGGUGACUUUUGUAAACAGACCGGAGUUAUCUGGUUAUGUUGUCAUCUUCCAUUUAUAUAUAUGUUGAUAAUAAAAAUUAGUUUUAAUUGUGUGUUUAUUAUUUAUAAGAUUUGACCUCAUGAUCUGAUGUUUUCUCCAAUCUCAGCUGUUGCUUUAGAAGUUGGGAUCAUCUGUUAAUUAUUAUUGUUUUUUAAAUGAAGUGAGCUGACAACCAUUGGGCUAAAGACUAAUAAUUCAACAUCAUAAAUAAACAACUCUCUUUGCCGUGAUGUAAUUUUAUUUGCCAAUGGGAUAAAGUAAAUUUAUGUGAAAUAACAUUUAUUCUAUGGACCCCCAGGCCAACUUUAGGGGAACAUUUUCCUAGAAUUGGCCUGGGGAGCAGCUGCGUGGUGGCAGCGCAGCUGCCCCAAACGGAUUUAUAUAUUUAUUAAAUUUGUUAAAGGAAUAUAUAAAGUUUAAAUUAACCUACAACUUUUCUUAAGAUUCAAAUCCUUGGGGCUUUAUCAAAUAAGAUUUGAUAUUAUAUCUGAAAAUGUAAUUGUGAAACCAAUGAUUAUAAGUUGAACUUAAUGUACAACUAAUCUUGAUAUUACCAAGUUGAUUUAUGGACUUUUGCUCGAGAAUGUUGUAUGACUCGUGACAAGUUGGACUGAAAAGCCCAUCGAGUAAUGGAAUGUUAGGUGUAUUUUCUCAAGAAGCAGCACUAAAUAAUCACCCGCUGACAGUCAAAUAAAGCUCACCAAUUAAUUGGACAACAACAAUUAUCUACAUCCAUUAAAGUGAAGCAAAGUAAAGAAAGGUCUAUGCAGGCUUCACAAGCACAAAUUAAUCAAGUAGUUGCACAAGCACAACCUGAACAAGCACCAGGUAAUAUUUAACCUCUAUGUUAAUUCCUUAUUUUUAUGUCCAUGAAUAAUAACUAAAUUAAUACUUUUUAGGAAUAUAUGGACCUCAAAGUACAAUUGGACAACAACAACAACCUGCAUAUAUUAUAGCGAGGCAAAGGAGGGCUAGACCAUUGCAUGAUCAAGGAACUAGUAACAACAACAAUAAUGGAGUUAUUAAUACCGAGCCUGUUCUAAAAAAAGUCAGAAAAGAGAGCAAAGAUAGGUUGAAUGCAACUCAACCAUCAGCUUCUAUGCCUGAUGGCUUUGGUGGUUGCAUGUAGUAUCUUGUAAAAUAUGAUAUCUAAUUAGUUUUGUUAACUAUUGUAGCAGGGGGUAAAGGUGGCUUCAUUCAUUGGGUAUGUGGCAAUAAAAUUCAUACCCAUUUGAAUAUUGUGUUUACUUUUGGUUAACUAUGAUGGAAUCUUCUUAUAUUAUGAUUACAUUUAGCUUAUAUGGCAUUGAUGCGUCAAACGAUUACUCCCUGAUUUUGAUUAUAACGAAGAUAUAUAAUUUUUUUUUUUUGGCAAUGCCGUAAGAUUUUGUUGGAUUGUUUUUGUAAGAAAUGAUUGGGUAUUUAUUUUUUUUGCAAGAUUAUAAUUGCGGAGACAUAAAUGGUUGAAAGGAUAGAAUAUUCGGGAAUGUUUGUGCAAGGAAUGUGGUUUGACAGAAGUGACGCAAAUUAGGCUUAUUGCAUUUGUGUUUUACGGGUAUGUAUAGCUUGAUUCAUGAAAUUAGAAAAUAAACGUUAGUCUUCCUAUUAAUAUUCAUUUUUUCAAUCCAUAUAUUAAUGGCAAUUAAGUCUUUUUGACUCUAAAAGUAAGGGCACUUUUAAAAUUUCACUUUGUUAUAUAUCAAUUAAAACAUGUGGGUAAUUGUGUGAUUUUAUCCACUAGAGCUAAGAAAAUUGGCGCCAAUCUCCUGUCAUUUGGAUACUAGGGGCAAAUAGGUAAAAGUAUUUAAAAAUUGAGCAACUUCUGUUAUUGUUAUAACAGCAGGGAGGAAAUUGGUCAUUAUGAAAAUAGUAAAGGAAGAAUUGGUAUAUAAUGAUUUUAAUAAGGGGGAAAUUAGCAAUCUCCCUUAUAACCACCGAAACAUCAACUGCCAUUGGAUUGGGACCCAUUUAACCACCGGCCAUAAAACAGUUUGGACGAAACUUAAUCCUGAAAAACUUAUGGACCUCCCUUUUCACUUGUUUUUAAAAAAAAAUUAAAGAAAAAUUACGUGUCAAAAAGGAAAAAAAAUUACACUGACGAAUCCCUUAUUGUCAUGCCAAAUUAUCACACUUAAAGUAAAGAAUUUAAGCAAAAGUCUUAAACCAUUAUAAAUGUGAACGUAUGGCUGAUUUAUGAUAUGAUGGGUCCAUCUAUUAAAUAUCUUGUUUUCUUUAGUGUGGAUGUUUUUAUUUUAUUUUAUAAAAGUAUGAAUUUAAUAUUUUAUAAUAUUAUAAAAACUAUAUAAUAUUAUAAAAUAUUUUAUAAAGUGCAAAGUUCAACACUUGAGAAAGAUUUCUUAAGGUUAAAGUUUAUCAUUACAAAGAGUGAAAAAAAAGAAGAAGAGGAAAAUAUCCAAUUGUAACUACAACCGUCAUGUUUUUACAUUGCAUUUCUUACAAUUUUCCAUUAAAUAUUUCUCAAAUUCUUUAGAGAAUUAAAAUAGAAUUGUUAUAAAAUUAAAUUCUCUCAUGAUCUAAAUUUGUCUCGUGUAAAAUUUAGUUGGAAAUUAGUGGUUAAUUAAAAAAAGUUAAAUCAAAAUCAUACAUAGCAUUAAAAAAAAAACAUAAAACACAAGACAUUUAAAAAUUCGAGAGAGUUCAUGUUAAGAAAGGGUCUUAAUUCAAUAAUGCAUAUGAUAUGAAAUGCAAAGUUUGGUGGGUCUAUUAAAACUAUAAUUAUUUUUAUCCAUUAAACUGCUAUUUCCUAUUUUAUGGAUAAUUCUUUUGAGCCACUGUUGAAGUAUUUGCAAUUUGUGACUAAAUUGUCUGAGCAUGAAGUCUCGUUGGUGAAACCAACCAUGUCGACAUAUAACGAAAAUAAAUCAAAAUCCGGAAACAAUAUUAAUGUAACAAUGAACCAACAGUAGACCAAUCGCAUUAUUAUUAUUAUUUGAGUACGUAAAUUGAUUUUUUUAGAGUAAAAAGAAAAAAAAGAUUUUUUUCUCCGUGAAUUUGACUUUUUCUUGUGGUACCGAACCAACCAUAGAGUUAUUACCUCUAAAAUUUUCUGAAGGUUAAGAAUUUUUUUUUUAAAACAAUUAAAAACAUCCCCAGAAAGAGACUCGAGUACACGUGUCAAAAAAUUGAAGUUUCUAACGGAGUUAAGAAAUAAGAAUAUGUUAAAAUAAGCAAAUUAAUGCAUACAUGUCAAAAAAUCUUCCAAAUAUUAAUUAAGUAAAUUCAGAUUAGUACAAUUUUAUUGAUUAGUUGGAUGUCACCCAGAAAAUCUAAAAAGAAAUUGUUAGCGACCCUUACCAUUUGAGUCACGAAAAGCUUAUAAAUAGACCCACAUCUCCCAUGCUAUGAUCAUCAGCAACACCAAAAACACUUUCUUGAAGUAGUGUCUAUAAAUUUCUCUUCUGCUAUCACUUUUUACUCUAUUAAUUAAUCAUGUCUGAGGAAAAGCACCACCACCACGGCCUCUUCCACCACCACAAGGAGCAUGAGAAGCCUGAGGGUGCCACCGGUUACUCCGACUCGACCACCGGAUACUCUGAUCAGUCAGCCACUGCUUACUCUGAGACUACAGGUUAUCCGGGAGACCGGUGCCGGCCAUCGGAGACGGAGAGCGGUGACUAUGGCAGGAAAGAGGAGGAGGUUGAUUACAAGAAGGAGGAGAAGCACCACAAGCAUCUCGAGCACCUCGGAGAGCUCGGAACUGCUGGAGCUGGUGCUUUUGCCCUGGUAAAGUGAUUCUUCAUCAAGUGCUUUUUUUAUUUUGUGAUAGUGUAUAGUUUCAUUUCUCAUGCAUACAUAUACAAAGUACCACGCAUGUAACUAGGCUUUUUGCAUGGAUUGGAGGAAAAAAAAAGAAAGAAUCCCAUUAUUUUCUUUAAUUUUAUCUCUAUGUUGACACUCAAUUAUUUAUUUAUUUUUGGGGGGUGGGGGGGUGUUGAUACGAUAUUGUAAAUGGAUCAGCUUGAGAAGCACAAGGCAGAAAAGGACCCAGAGCAUGCACACAGGCACAAGAUAGAGGAGGAGAUAGCCGCGGCAGCAGCCGUUGGAUCGGGAGGAUUUGCGUUCCACGAGCACCAUGAGAAGAAAGAAGCCAAGGAAGAAGACGAGGAAGCUCAUGGAAAGAAGCACCACCAUCUCUUUUAAUUAAUUAUGUGAUGCGUGCGCUACCUUUUUUAGUUUAUUAUAAUUAUGUGUUAAUAUUUUCUGUAUUUUAUUUGUUUUUGUUCGUUAAUUAUCAUUGAGCACAGAGGUAGCUAUCUGCAGCCCUAAAUAAUACCCUUGUGUGUUUGUGUGUAUGGGUGAGUCUGGUGACUUUUGUAAACAGACCGGAGUUAUCUGGUUAUGUUGUCAUCUUCCAUUUAUAUAUAUGUUGAUAAUAAAAAUUAGUUUUAAUUGUGUGUUUAUUAUUUAUAAGAUUUGACCUCAUGAUCUGAUGUUUUCUCCAAUCUCAGCUGUUGCUUUAGAAGUUGGGAUCAUCUGUUAAUUAUUAUUGUUUUUUAAAUGAAGUGAGCUGACAACCAUUGGGCUAAAGACUAAUAAUUCAACAUCAUAAAUAAACAACUCUCUUUGCCGUGAUGUAAUUUUAUUUGCCAAUGGGAUAAAGUAAAUUUAUGUGAAAUAACAUUUAUUCUAUGGACCCCCAGGCCAACUUUAGGGGAACAUUUUCCUAGAAUUGGCCUGGGGAGCAGCUGCGUGGUGGCAGCGCAGCUGCCCCAAACGGAUUUAUAUAUUUAUUAAAUUUGUUAAAGGAAUAUAUAAAGUUUAAAUUAACCUACAACUUUUCUUAAGAUUCAAAUCCUUGGGGCUUUAUCAAAUAAGAUUUGAUAUUAUAUCUGAAAAUAUAAUUGUGAAACCAAUGAUUAUAAGUUGAACUUAAUGUACAACUAAUCUUGAUAUUACCAAGUUGAUUUAUGGACUUUUGCUCGAGAAUGUUGUAUGACUCGUGACAAGUUGGACUGAAAAGCCCAUCGAGUAAUGGAAUGUUAGGUGUAUUUUCUCAAGAAGCAGCACUAAAUAAUCACCCGCUGACAGUCAAAUAAAGCUCACCAAUUAAUUGGACAACAACAAUUAUCUACAUCCAUUAAAGUGAAGCAAAGUAAAGAAAGGUCUAUGCAGGCUUCACAAGCACAAAUUAAUCAAGUAGUUGCACAAGCACAACCUGAACAAGCACCAGGUAAUAUUUAACCUCUAUGUUAAUUCCUUAUUUUUAUGUCCAUGAAUAAUAACUAAAUUAAUACUUUUUAGGAAUAUAUGGACCUCAAAGUACAAUUGGACAACAACAACAACCUGCAUAUAUUAUAGCGAGGCAAAGGAGGGCUAGACCAUUGCAUGAUCAAGGAACUAGUAACAACAACAAUAAUGGAGUUAUUAAUACCGAGCCUGUUCUAAAAAAAGUCAGAAAAGAGAGCAAAGAUAGGUUGAAUGCAACUCAACCAUCAGCUUCUAUGCCUGAUGGCUUUGGUGGUUGCAUGUAGUAUCUUGUAAAAUAUGAUAUCUAAUUAGUUUUGUUAACUAUUGUAGCAGGGGGUAAAGGUGGCUUCAUUCAUUGGGUAUGUGGCAAUAAAAUUCAUACCCAUUUGAAUAUUGUGUUUACUUUUGGUUAACUAUGAUGGAAUCUUCUUAUAUUAUGAUUACAUUUAGCUUAUAUGGCAUUGAUGCGUCAAACGAUUACUCCCUGAUUUUGAUUAUAACGAAGAUAUAUAAUUUUUUUUUUUUGGCAAUGCCGUAAGAUUUUGUUGGAUUGUUUUUGUAAGAAAUGAUUGGGUAUUUAUUUUUUUUGCAAGAUUAUAAUUGCGGAGACAUAAAUGGUUGAAAGGAUAGAAUAUUCGGGAAUGUUUGUGCAAGGAAUGUGGUUUGACAGAAGUGACGCAAAUUAGGCUUAUUGCAUUUGUGUUUUACGGGUAUGUAUAGCUUGAUUCAUGAAAUUAGAAAAUAAACGUUAGUCUUCCUAUUAAUAUUCAUUUUUUCAAUCCAUAUAUUAAUGGCAAUUAAGUCUUUUUGACUCUAAAAGUAAGGGCACUUUUAAAAUUUCACUUUGUUAUAUAUCAAUUAAAACAUGUGGGUAAUUGUGUGAUUUUAUCCACUAGAGCUAAGAAAAUUGGCGCCAAUCUCCUGUCAUUUGGAUACUAGGGGCAAAUAGGUAAAAGUAUUUAAAAAUUGAGCAACUUCUGUUAUUGUUAUAACAGCAGGGAGGAAAUUGGUCAUUAUGAAAAUAGUAAAGGAAGAAUUGGUAUAUAAUGAUUUUAAUAAGGGGGAAAUUAGCAAUCUCCCUUAUAACCACCGAAACAUCAACUGCCAUUGGAUUGGGACCCAUUUAACCACCGGCCAUAAAACAGUUUGGACGAAACUUAAUCCUGAAAAACUUAUGGACCUCCCUUUUCACUUGUUUUUAAAAAAAAAUUAAAGAAAAAUUACGUGUCAAAAAGGAAAAAAAAUUACACUGACGAAUCCCUUAUUGUCAUGCCAAAUUAUCACACUUAAAGUAAAGAAUUUAAGCAAAAGUCUUAAACCAUUAUAAAUGUGAACGUAUGGCUGAUUUAUGAUAUGAUGGGUCCAUCUAUUAAAUAUCUUGUUUUCUUUAGUGUGGAUGUUUUUAUUUUAUUUUAUAAAAGUAUGAAUUUAAUAUUUUAUAAUAUUAUAAAAACUAUAUAAUAUUAUAAAAUAUUUUAUAAAGUGCAAAGUUCAACACUUGAGAAAGAUUUCUUAAGGUUAAAGUUUAUCAUUACAAAGAGUGAAAAAAAAGAAGAAGAGGAAAAUAUCCAAUUGUAACUACAACCGUCAUGUUUUUACAUUGCAUUUCUUACAAUUUUCCAUUAAAUAUUUCUCAAAUUCUUUAGAGAAUUAAAAUAGAAUUGUUAUAAAAUUAAAUUCUCUCAUGAUCUAAAUUUGUCUCGUGUAAAAUUUAGUUGGAAAUUAGUGGUUAAUUAAAAAAAGUUAAAUCAAAAUCAUACAUAGCAUUAAAAAAAAAACAUAAAACACAAGACAUUUAAAAAUUCGAGAGAGUUCAUGUUAAGAAAGGGUCUUAAUUCAAUAAUGCAUAUGAUAUGAAAUGCAAAGUUUGGUGGGUCUAUUAAAACUAUAAUUAUUUUUAUCCAUUAAACUGCUAUUUCCUAUUUUAUGGAUAAUUCUUUUGAGCCACUGUUGAAGUAUUUGCAAUUUGUGACUAAAUUGUCUGAGCAUGAAGUCUCGUUGGUGAAACCAACCAUGUCGACAUAUAACGAAAAUAAAUCAAAAUCCGGAAACAAUAUUAAUGUAACAAUGAACCAACAGUAGACCAAUCGCAUUAUUAUUAUUAUUUGAGUACGUAAAUUGAUUUUUUUAGAGUAAAAAGAAAAAAAAGAUUUUUUUCUCCGUGAAUUUGACUUUUUCUUGUGGUACCGAACCAACCAUAGAGUUAUUACCUCUAAAAUUUUCUGAAGGUUAAGAAUUUUUUUUUUAAAACAAUUAAAAACAUCCCCAGAAAGAGACUCGAGUACACGUGUCAAAAAAUUGAAGUUUCUAACGGAGUUAAGAAAUAAGAAUAUGUUAAAAUAAGCAAAUUAAUGCAUACAUGUCAAAAAAUCUUCCAAAUAUUAAUUAAGUAAAUUCAGAUUAGUACAAUUUUAUUGAUUAGUUGGAUGUCACCCAGAAAAUCUAAAAAGAAAUUGUUAGCGACCCUUACCAUUUGAGUCACGAAAAGCUUAUAAAUAGACCCACAUCUCCCAUGCUAUGAUCAUCAGCAACACCAAAAACACUUUCUUGAAGUAGUGUCUAUAAAUUUCUCUUCUGCUAUCACUUUUUACUCUAUUAAUUAAUCAUGUCUGAGGAAAAGCACCACCACCACGGCCUCUUCCACCACCACAAGGAGCAUGAGAAGCCUGAGGGUGCCACCGGUUACUCCGACUCGACCACCGGAUACUCUGAUCAGUCAGCCACUGCUUACUCUGAGACUACAGGUUAUCCGGGAGACCGGUGCCGGCCAUCGGAGACGGAGAGCGGUGACUAUGGCAGGAAAGAGGAGGAGGUUGAUUACAAGAAGGAGGAGAAGCACCACAAGCAUCUUGAGCACCUCGGAGAGCUCGGAACUGCUGGAGCUGGUGCUUUUGCCCUGGUAAAGUGAUUCUUCAUCAAGUGCUUUUUUUAUUUUGUGAUAGUGUAUAGUUUCAUUUCUCAUGCAUACAUAUACAAAGUACCACGCAUGUAACUAGGCUUUUUGCAUGGAUUGGAGGAAAAAAAAAGAAAGAAUCCCAUUAUUUUCUUUAAUUUUAUCUCUAUGUUGACACUCAAUUAUUUAUUUAUUUUUGGGGGGUGGGGGGGUGUUGAUACGAUAUUGUAAAUGGAUCAGCUUGAGAAGCACAAGGCAGAAAAGGACCCAGAGCAUGCACACAGGCACAAGAUAGAGGAGGAGAUAGCCGCGGCAGCAGCCGUUGGAUUGGGAGGAUUUGCGUUCCACGAGCACCAUGAGAAGAAAGAAGCCAAGGAAGAAGACGAGGAAGCUCAUGGAAAGAAGCACCACCAUCUCUUUUAAUUAAUUAUGUAUUGCGUCCGCUACCUUUUUUAGUUUAUUAUAAUUAUGUGUUAAUAUUUUCUGUAUUUUAUUUGUUUUGCACGUUAGCCCUCAUUGAGCACAGAGGUAGCUGCAGCCCUAAAUAAUACUGUUGUGUGUUCGCGUGUAUGGGUGAGUCUGGUGACUUUUGUAAACACACCGGAGUUAUCUGGUUAUGUUGUCAUCUUACAUUUAUAUAUAUGUUGAUAAUAAAACUUAGUUUUAAUUGUGUGUUUAUUAUUUAUAAGAUUUGACCUCAUGAUCUGAUGUUUUCUCCAAUCUCAGCUGUUGCUUUAGAAGUUGGGAUCAUCUGUUAAUUAUUAUUGUUUUU
Molecule: long non-coding RNA, 9982 nt
Filed under: Citrus x clementina
Lineage: Eukaryota; Viridiplantae; Streptophyta; Magnoliopsida; Sapindales; Rutaceae
Description: Citrus clementina (C. clementina) long non-coding RNA (CCLE_LNC003081)
Source: RNAcentral